RNAcentral lists this long non-coding RNA (279 nucleotides) under Elaeis guineensis (African oil palm). Its description in RNAcentral is "long non-coding RNA (EGUI_LNC009987)". The record is from RNAcentral. Lineage: Eukaryota; Viridiplantae; Streptophyta; Magnoliopsida; Arecales; Arecaceae.
CCUGAUUGGCCUUGUCCUUUUGAAAUCUUGAGGGACAUACCCAAGUUGGUUAUAGGUGGGACUCCCUUAUAGCGUCUGGCUGACGACGUUAAACUUAGCAUUUUUUAGGAAGCAACCUAGCUUAUGUAAUAUUUUUAGUUUCUUGUCAUUUUAUAGGAAUCUCUAGAAAGAUAAUUAACCAAGUUGAAUCUCUAUAGUGGAGUGGAUGAGUGAUGCUACUAGCUAAGUUGGGGGGAGAGCCACGUUCACACCAAUUGAAAUCAAGAACACACCACACCC